Paramuricea clavata is the source of this 388-nucleotide non-coding RNA. NCBI's taxonomy places the organism in Eukaryota, Metazoa, Cnidaria, Anthozoa, Malacalcyonacea, Plexauridae. The record is from the annotation of a GenBank genome assembly.
AAUUUUUUAAAGGAAUUAUUAUGCAAAAUGUACGUAUAAUAUGAUAUUCCGCGUAUAUAUUUAUUAAAUUGGAUCUGUGAUUGGAUCAGCUGCUAUUCGACCAGUGUCGCUCGUGUAAAAUCAAUUGAAAGAAUCAAAUUAUGUGGACUUGUAACUUGGUCAAUAUCGCGUGGUUGUUUAUAUUUUCACAGAAGUUGACUGUCUCAUUGUAUGAACUGUAGUCACUAGUUAGUAUUCAAAUUGUUAAAUGUUUAUUAUAUAUAUUUUGUUCAUAUUUUUGUUGUUGGAAAGAUGCCAUUAAUGGAAAGUGUAAAUAUCUAUAUUAUGCCCCUUGCACUUAUAACUUAUUCACUUUCCUCUGCUUCCCAUGAGGUUGACAGAACAAAAU